CUGAGGGGAUGGAGCGGCCAGCAGGGAGCACACAGGGCUGCGGGACUGCAGCUCUGCCAGGCCUUGGAACCAAUUCCAGAGCCUCCACUUUUGGCACAGCUACAGUGAAGACCUUGAGAAAAGGCGGAGACUGCCGGGAGCCAGCAGGGAGAAGCUGAAGGCCAGCAGCAGGAGCAGUGAGCGGGGCCCUGCUGCUGCCAGCCUGGAGAGAGCCCGGAUGUCCCAUCUGCUGUCCCUAUCCAGGAGCGCUGCUCUGCACGGGAGGAAGAGACCAAGGGAGAGGCUUUGAAGAUGGGGCAGCUGGGGUCCCUCCGCUUGGAGUUCUGUUUAAAGAUACACGGAUUUGCGCGUGGACAGGGAUUAUUAUAUGGAUAUGGACAUAUGUAGCCUGCUAUUUGUACAGGCACAUUUCUGUACAUGUGGUAUUAUAUUCAUGAAUGUAUUAUCUAUAUAUUUACAUAUAGAUACCUGCAUACAUACAGGUUUGCAGUUACGUAUUUGUGUGUAUAUGUAUCUAGUUCUUUAUGUAUAUUGUAGUAUCUGUGUUUAGAUUGCCAUAUGUAUACAGUAGUGUAGGUAUCUAUAUUUAUUAGUUUUUAUUGUAGUUUUUGGUAUAUGCCUUUUUAAGUAAGUAUAGUGGUAUUUGUAUCAGUAUAUAUGUUUGGUUUUAUAUUUUUAGAUGUAUAUUGAUCUAUUUCUAUAUAUAUAUUAUAUUUACAUAUAUAUCCAGAUGUAUAGCUGUGUAUUUGCAUCGAUGCAGUUGUACAGAUAUUUAGAUUGGCAGUGCUGUUUGUCUAUUUAUAGAUAGGAUUGUUUUAUGUAUCUGUUUCUUGAAUGUAAUAUGUAACAUUUAAUCUAUAUUCACAUCUGUAUAUUGUGGUGGUUGUGUAUGUAUUCAGUUCUAUUUAAAUGUGUAUGGAGUUGUAUAGUGGUGUAAUUCUAUUUGUUGAGUUCUUGGUAUUAGAGAUACUGAAAUGUUUUGUAUUUAUAUGUGUGCUGUAUGCUUGUUGUGAUACGCAAUAAAUUAAGUUGUUAAUUUUCCAUUGA
Passer domesticus (house sparrow) is the source of this 1047-nucleotide long non-coding RNA. RefSeq lists it as uncharacterized. The record is from RefSeq and is a predicted model, not a curated record. NCBI's taxonomy places the organism in Eukaryota, Metazoa, Chordata, Aves, Passeriformes, Passeridae. The transcript has 2 exons.